GCCCAUCAUUUAAAUCUCACACAAAUAUAUGUUUUCAUGUGUCUGUCAGUUUCUAUUUUUAUACAACACUCUUCUAAUUAAAUCACAUAUACUAUAUAUAAAAGUUAUCUCCAGAAUGUGUCUCUUUACUGCAUUUCUUCUGAAAAACAACUUUUCAGCAUGUAUACGUCAUAUUUAUGUUUGUUGCAAGUAUGCGUUCUCUGCAAGUCUGAAUUCAUGAAAUUUGGUACCAAAUUAGAUUUUCUUUGAUUUGAC
Molecule: long non-coding RNA, 255 nt
Filed under: Mytilus galloprovincialis (Mediterranean mussel)
Lineage: Eukaryota; Metazoa; Mollusca; Bivalvia; Mytilida; Mytilidae
Source: RNAcentral